Aphis gossypii (cotton aphid) is the source of this 4685-nucleotide long non-coding RNA. RefSeq lists it as uncharacterized. NCBI's taxonomy places the organism in Eukaryota, Metazoa, Arthropoda, Insecta, Hemiptera, Aphididae. The transcript is spliced from 2 exons. The record is from RefSeq and is a predicted model, not a curated record.
CCACUAUAUAAAUACCUACUCGUUCCACUAUUAACCCGUACGCAGCUUCUCGCUACCCCGUCAUCGAUAGUCCAACAAAAACUGAUCUUGACGACCUUUGGUGUCACGACUACGAGAUAGCUUUUUUUACCUUUAUUUUUUUAAUAUAAUUUAUUCUCAUCGUCUUAUUUUUUUUUUACUAAAUUGGUUGAAAAAUCUGCAGCAUGUUAGAAAGUGUAUAGCAGGAUUAUCGAGAUGCUAUAUUUUUAAUCCCUGACACAAAUUAUUAUUAUUUUUAUUUUUGGCCAUAAAUUUUAUGCUAUAUAUUGCAUGAUUAAUAAAUACAUACUCUUUCGAUGACUAAUAUUUAACUCUCUAAAAUAUUAUUUAUUUUUGUGUCUUAUUAUAAUAUGACGUAUGAAAAUCACCAUAUAUGGUGGUUAAAAUAGUCUUAACCAUCUGUUUGCUUUACAUGAUUGGGUACCUAAUAAUAUUUUAAAAUAUACGAGUAUAAUGCAAUUUAUAUUCUGUAAAUCUCUCUUUAAAUGUACGAUUCUAUUUACUAAAAUAAAUACUAUAACGUUCAUUGACAUUUGUGCUUUUUUCCGAGUUAUCAAAACUGAAAUUAUAAUAUGUAUUUUUUUUUAAUGUACAAAAUCAACUUGUAAGUUUUGUAGUAUAUGUUCAUUUAAAUUUUAAAUACACAUUUAAUUUUUAUUAUAUUUAAAAAUACUGAGAAACGGUGUGGUGAUAAUGUGAUAUACAACAACUUUUAUAAAGUACUAAAGGAGCGAGAGUAACUCAUUAAUUUUGUAAUAUACUAAGUUUACUUUUCGAAACUUUAAAUUCUUUUAAAUAAAAGUUAUUACAUUUAUAGAUAUUUAUUGUUAUAUAUAUGUAAAGAUUUUAAAAAUAAAACUUUGCAUCAAAUUAUAAAAUUAACAUUGUUGGUUUCUAUUUCAAAAUGUAUAACAUUGCAUUUUGGUAAAUCGUAGCUGUAGCCUGUAACUGUUUUUUUUAUAAUUUCGUUCAAAGUUGUAUCAGUUUUAGUAUUAUUAGGCACUAACUUAAAAUUAAGUUUUUAUAGCUAUGUCCAUGUAUAGGUGGUUUCAUAAUCUACCAGAAAAUUACCGUUAAGAAAUUAUAUUUUUAUGAGUAAAAAAAUAUCGAAUGACUGAAAUGUUUAAUGUGCCAUUAAAUAUAUGAAACUUAUGGUAUUAGUGAAGGUAUAUUUUUGUUUGUAUUUAAUAGGUAGUAUUUAUAAUCAUUAUUAAACUAAAACCAACCUGAUUUAACCAGAUAAAAAAAUUGUUUUACUUUUUCACUAUGUGUUUCUAAACAAUAAUUGCGAUUUCGUGUAUAAAAAAAUACACUGGGUAUAAUAAUAUAUUAAAUGUAGUUAGGUAUAGAUAAUAAUAAGAAAAUAUGAGAAUUAUACUUUAGGUAUUGACUAUUAUUAUGUAUUGUUAUUUUUAUGUUACUCUACCUAUUUAUUAUUAAUCUAUAAUAGUAUAUAUUUUGCUGUUGGAUACUUAGAAUAUAAAUUGUAUAUUAUAAUUUGCGACUUGCGUUGUAUGUAUAUAUAAUAUACCUAUAUAAAACAUUUUUUUUUUGAAAACAAAAUGCUGCUUAAACCGCUCCAUCGGUGAUUUCGAUCGUUAUUUAUAAAAAAAAACAUUUCUCAAAUUAAUUUUAGACAUUAAUCGUCUCCAUAUAGGAGUGUCGAUUUUCAACUGUAAUCGACUGAAUUUCCUUUUAGAUGACGAUCGUAAAACCUUGGCUUGCAGAUUUUCAAUAUCUCGAUUCAACGGCGAGUCUUUGGUCCCGUGGGCGUAAUUUGCGUCCUUACCAUUGUCUCCGUUCGUACCUACGUUACAUAUAUCCGUCGAAAAAACGUAACAAUCGCAGCGACCAUCAUUAUCGUAUAUAAUAUCCGGGGGACAAUAAAUACACUUAACUGAUCAUUCCGUAUGUUUGUACUUCGUUAAGCUCGCCAGACCGUAUAGGAUAUAUAUAUUUUAUCAACGGCCUUGAUCCGCAUUUUAACAUAACUCUAAGGUCGAGUCAGCGAAAUUAGAUCCCGUAGAUGUUGCUAAAAGGAAAUAACUGGUACUAAACGACGACAAUAACUGCAGAUAUAGAUAUUAACUAUAUAUUGAUCAGUUUAUAGUUCUGAAUGUUGCUGUUAUUAUUAUAACGUUUUUCUCACUCUCGUCGAAAAGGCUCGAAAAUUAAUAAGAAAAAAAACACUAGUCCAUAUAUGCACACUGUUGUGACCUUCCGUGAAUCGUAACAAUUAUUAUGAUUGUGCAUGCCCGACGCGACACUCGGUAGUUUUAUAGAUCGCGAAAUUGACAAUGGUAACAGUCGCGGCUAAGAUGGAAAAAAAAGUAUUGAAAAGUGGGCUGAGAUGGUAAAAUAUUGAAGAGUGCAACAUUUACGACUGUGUACUACUGUCGAGAUGAGUAACAACUAUGAUUGCGACUUAAUUGAUUGACCUAUUCGUGGGUUUGAAUAUUAUUUAGUUUACAAUGACGGCCUGUAGGCGAUUAUUUAGUGAGAGCGAAGGAGAAAGAAAGAUAAAAAGUCUCGUACAAGUAAAAGAUUUGAGGCGAUGUGGUUGUUUUAACAAUUUUAUUUGAUAUGCAAAUCAAUUAUAAAUUAUGCAUUAUGCGUAUUGUUACGUGUAGUAUAGAAUCAGGACAAUAUUUCAAAGAAGAAGCUCUCAUGUUUUCACUUGUCAUACAUUUUAGUAACCUCAAGUAUAUUAUUAUUAUUAUUAUUUGAUAAAAUUAAUUCAGUACAUAUGCAUUUCACAUUUGAUACCUAUCAUAUUAUUUAUUUUAUUUUUACAAACUAAAAAAAACAUAUGUAUUUUAAAAAUAUUUAUUAAAUCAAAUUAUACGACAAUUUUUCUUUUCUUUUACAUAAAUCGAUUACCUCUUCAAUAAAUUCAUAAGUUAGAUCUUCUUCGUCUUGGGUACUUAUUUUCAUAGAAUAUCUUAGUGUGCCUUACCCCGAUCCGGUGAAUAUAGUGGAUAUACUUUAUUGAUACUUUGAUAAAAAAAUAAAAAUAUAUAAUAUGUUUUUCGUGUAAAAUAUGUUGAUAAUAAUAAUAAAAUCUUAACAAGUGUUGUAAAUAUUUUUUGUUGCCUAUUAUUUUCUUCGAGGCAUGUGGAGGGAGGGAGGGAGGGAUGAAAUUAAAGAAGGAUAUUUGCUCUCUGUAUUCAAUAUUGUAUUUUGCUAUUUACGUGUAUACGGAUUCAAGAUCACGUUUAGUGGUCGUCCCGUGGUGCAGAAGAAUAAGUCGUGUUAAUCGGUGAAGUAUAACUGGUGAAAAAAAUAUAUUACCUAUCUAUCAGACCGUGGGACGACAAUCGCAUAACAUACGCUCCAUUCAUUUCACUCCGCGACACCGUGGGAGCGAAGGACCCGCGGAAGAAAAAAAAAUUUCGACAGCGCGAAUCGGAAUUGUUUCCACGUCCUGUUGGUUUAAGCGUCAUCGUUGCGUGGGUUUUCGCGAACAGCGGUGCUGCAACCGUAAAAUAUUGCAUACAAUAUACAAAUUAAGUAGUUAUAAUAAACAUGAUCAAUCUACAUGGAGGGGGAGGAAGGAUCUAUAUGAUGUAUCAUAAUAACUUAAACAAUAGGUAUGCAUUAUUAUACCAGGAUUGAGAGUAAAGCAUAAUAUGCAUUAAGCACUAUAUUUAUUUCAAACAAACGAAUAACAUUGAUUCAAAAUUUGUUUUGUGAUAAAUAAUAAAAUCAAUUUUAUUUAAGAUUUUAGAAUUUUUUCUUACGAUAUAAAAAUACCUUAUUAAUCAGAGUUUUUUUUUUAAAUCACUCAUCAAUUUGACUAUACAGUCCAAAAUAUUAUGUAUAUAAAAAAAAACAUUAUAUAUUUCCAUAUUAUCAAGGCUAGAUAAUUUAUCAUAAUUUUUAAAAUAAAAUUAAGAUACUUUCUGUAAUUGAUUCAUUAAAUGUUAAAUGCAAUUAUGUAAAUCACAAAAAUAUUUUAAAUUAUAUGGUGCGCGUGAGUUAGACAAAUUUUUUUUAAUUAAAAUAAUAUUUUAUCCUCAAGUUUAAUGAAUUUAUUUAUUUUUAAAAUAGUCUCGCUAACAAUUAAUUUUUCAUGUAAUUUUAAAAUAAAAAUAAGAUAAAUCGCAGCUAAGAAACGGAUUUACUUGUAUUAACGGCACACAUAGCAUCCCGUUAAAAUUUUGUCAGUGUAAUGGGACUUAUGUUAUACUUUAUAGCAGGGGUCGCCAACCAGUCGAUCGCGAUCGACUGGUCGAUCUUUCUAUGAAUAUAGGUCGAUCGUUAUAAAAAUUAAUUUUACCAUUAUCGGUCGAUCGCGUAAUAAAUAAUCGGAUAAUGUGGAUUGCUAAAUUGUAUUCUAGGAAUUUACCAUUAUCGGUCAAUCGGUAAUAGUCAGAAUUUUUUUUUUUAUUUGAAAAUAAAUGCCUCGGCUACAAUAAAUGGUCAGAAUUAUUGUUAGUUAUAACUCGACUGUCAAUUAGUCGUCUUGUGCAAGACGUGUGCAACGCGUAUAUGUUCCGUAUAUUUUCGUUAUUACGUUCCAAAUUUAUUUAGAAUUUACAACAAAUAAAAUGAAUCCAAAUAAAAUUGCUCAUAAAACUAAAUUAUCCUAGAUGUCGAUCACCUGGGACUAAAAAUUUCAAAUAUAGCUCACUUGUUUGAAAAGG